This is a long non-coding RNA of Cornus florida, 2062 nucleotides long. RefSeq lists it as uncharacterized. Lineage: Eukaryota; Viridiplantae; Streptophyta; Magnoliopsida; Cornales; Cornaceae. The record is from RefSeq and is a predicted model, not a curated record. The transcript has 3 exons.
AUAUAUAUAUAUAUAUAUAUAUCCAUGCCUAUCUAGCAUUCCUGUAACAAGACUUCAUCAAAACCCACACUAACUAAAUAAAUAAUUAAAACUAAUCAAAACAAACACUUAAAAAAAACAAAAUACCAAUAACUAAAAAAAAUCAAUUCUUAUAAUCUCACACAUCAUAUCCCAAUCUUCAAUCUUAACUAAAAAACGUAAAAUAUAAUUUAAAAAAAAAACUAAAAAAAAUUCAGGUUAUCACAACUUGGUUGUUUCAAAUUCGUAAAUCCUGUUUUCCAAGGAACUGACCUUCUCGAAAGCCCCGAAAGAGGUGGAAAGAAAAGGAAACAACCUGCCAAAACUAAGACAGCCCUUGCUUUUCCAUUGAAGAAAACCAAAAGAAGCACAAGUUUCAAACAAGCUUUUCUUGUUGACUCUGAUGAUGAACAAGAUCCUCCACAUCUUCAAAAGAAAGUAUAAUCUCAGAGUGCUAGUCAAACGGCUGAAACAAUGCUUUCUAAAAGAAAGAGUUCUUUGGCCAAAAAGGCUCCUGCUAAGCCAUCUGCUUCAAAAGGUCCUACAAGAUCUGAACAUCCUCCUAUUAAAAGACAGCUUCCUAUACCUGAAGAAACUAUCGAUGAAAGUGAAAAAAGUCCAAGUGUAGACCCAGAAGAAGAGAAAGAUGAAAUUGAGGAAGUGGGAACAAGUGAGAAAGAUAAAACAGAGGAAGAAGAAGAAGAAGAGAAAGAAGAAGAAGAAAAAAUAGAAACAGAAGACGAAGAAGGAAAAUAAGAAAAUGAUUCAGAGGAUGAUGAGGUUGUGGAAAAAGAUUGUACUAAAGAAACUGCCCAUUUUGAAAGAAAAUCUUCCACUGAAGUAUAACAUGAUACUUCAUAUUUCUUCUUCCUAUCUUCUUCUACUAUUUAUUAAUAGAAUUCUUUCAGGAAACUGCUUCACAUAGCCCUCUUAAUCCUAUUCUGCCAAGUCCUUAAAGAUCUCCAUUGAAAGAAGAGACACUUCUUACUGUCGUUCUUUCAAGAGACCCUCCUACUCCUCCAAUAGGGAAAUCUGCCCAACUAGGAGCUUCUGGUACGAAAGAAGUAGCCGAAUCUCCUUUUCCUCAGAAAAAGGUAAUUCUCAAGUUUGUCAUUUUAUUACAUUUUCAUAUUCCCUUAACCUCAUCUUUCUUUUGCAGGACACUUUUGCCCAUCCUCAAACUUCCAUGGUUGUUACUUCCAUGGGAUCAUUUUCAGCUUUUAGUGACUACUUCCAGGCUGUUGAGUCCUUGGUUGAGGAAAAUAUGACUUCUUCCAGCAGUGCUCUAGCUCUUGUUCCUGGCCCUUCUCAGACUUUUGAAGUAGAUAAACAGGCUUUGAUGACCCUUCUUCAGCAUGACUCUGCCAAUCUCCCUUUCAUUAAAAAUAAACUUUCAAUGGCUUUGAUUAAACUUAGCCAACAUCAAGGUUUCCUAGUGGAGGUUCAAUUGGCCAUUUCUUCAUUCAAAGCUUAGCUUCCCAGCCUAUCUAAGUCUAUCCAGGAUUCCCAUUCUGUAUUUCACAGGUGGAAGAGAAAAACAAGAAAAAAGAUUUUCUUACUGAUAAGCUCAAAAGUUGUGCCGUUCCUUUCAAAUCUCUCAAACCGGAAAUAGAUAACCUCUAAACUAGGGAACUUGAGUUAAGGCAAGCCUUAGCUCAAGUUUAACUUAAUCAACAAGCUCUUAACUCCAAGCUGGAUGGAAUGAAGAAAGAGACCAAAGGUUAUAAGGUGCAGUUUACCAAAGUCCAAAGUGUUCUUCCCAAGUUGGAAGACUCCAAACUACAGGUUGUGGCUUCUUUGAAUCAGUCUAAACUCGUCUGGACUGAUUUUAAAAAUAAAUUUAUGGGUCUGUAAUUUCUGAACAAUAUUUCCUUUUGUUCCCUUUUAGGUCAAUCUUUUGGUUGUGCUGGACUUAUAAAAUCCGCUAAAUAAUUGGAAAGCCACAAUUGGGUUUCUAAACUUGUCCUUUGGAUUUUUCUUCUUGUUUUCCUUUGUGAGUUUUUUAGGAAAGCCAUAAUUGGGUUUCUCAAAUCAUCUUCCUCCA